RNAcentral lists this small RNA (83 nucleotides) under Marmota monax (woodchuck). Lineage: Eukaryota; Metazoa; Chordata; Mammalia; Rodentia; Sciuridae. The record is from RNAcentral.
GCUGGGCAUGGUGGCGCACGCCUGUAAUCCCAGCAACUCAGGAGACUGAGGCAGGAGGAUCGCAAGUUCAAAGCCAGCCUCAG